GGGGAAUUUUGGACAAUGGGGGCAACCCUGAUCCAGCCAUGCCGCGUGAGUGAAGAAGGCCUUCGGGUUGUAAAGCUCUUUCGGACGGAAAGAAAACGGAUGGGUUAAUACCCUGUUCGGAUGACGGUACCGUCAUAAGAAGCACCGGCUAACUACGUGCCAGCAGCCGCGGUAAUACGUAGGGUGCGAGCGUUAAUCGGAAUUACUGGGCGUAAAGCGUGCGCAGGCGGUUGAUUAAGACAGGCGUGAAAUCCCCGGGCUUAACCUGGGAACUGCGCUUGUGACUGGUCGGCUAGAGUACGGCAGAGGGGGGUGGAAUUCCACGUGUAGCAGUGAAAUGCGUAGAGAUGUGGAGGAACACCGAUGGCGAAGGCAGCCCCCUGGGCCGAUACUGACGCUCAUGCACGAAAGCGUGGGUAGCAAACA
RNAcentral lists this ribosomal RNA (426 nucleotides) under uncultured Rhodocyclaceae bacterium. RNAcentral describes it as "bacterial SSU rRNA". It matches the Rfam family "Bacterial small subunit ribosomal RNA", at positions 356 to 774 of the family's 1533-position model. The record is from RNAcentral. Lineage: Bacteria; Pseudomonadati; Pseudomonadota; Betaproteobacteria; Rhodocyclales; Rhodocyclaceae.